RNAcentral lists this ribosomal RNA (464 nucleotides) under uncultured bacterium. Its description in RNAcentral is "bacterial SSU rRNA". It matches the Rfam family "Bacterial small subunit ribosomal RNA", at positions 917 to 1382 of the family's 1533-position model. The record is from RNAcentral.
GGACCCGCACAAGCAGCGGAGCAUGUGGUUUAAUUCGAAGCAACGCGAAGAACCUUACCAGGUCUUGACAUCCUCUGACAAUCUGAGAGAUCAGACUUUCCCUUCGGGGACAGAGAGACAGGUGGUGCAUGGUUGUCGUCAGCUCGUGUCGUGAGAUGUUGGGUUAAGUCCCGCAACGAGCGCAACCCCUGUGGUUAGUUGCCAUCAUUUAGUUGGGCACUCUAAGCAGACUGCCGUGGAUAACACGGAGGAAGGUGGGGACGACGUCAAAUCAUCAUGCCCCUUAUGACCUGGGCUACACACGUGCUACAAUGGUCUGAACAGAGGGCUGCGAAACCGCGAGGUGAAGCUAAUCCCUUAAAACAGAUCUCAGUUCGGAUUGCAGGCUGCAACUCGCCUGCAUGAAGUUGGAGUUGCUAGUAAUCGCAGAUCAGAAUGCUGCGGUGAAUGCGUUCCCGGGUCUU